This 265-nucleotide unclassified non-coding RNA is filed under the name uncultured bacterium. Its description in RNAcentral is "contains 16S-23S intergenic spacer region". The record is from RNAcentral.
UUGAUUGGCCGACACAUCUGGUCAAGUUUUUAUCACAGCAGGUACUUAUUGUCCUUACUAUAUGUUUCUUCUUUUUAAAUUAAUUCAUUAAGCGUGCCUCAAAUUAGGCUAUUUAACUUUUUUUUCAUGAACAGUUAGCUGUGUCUCCGGCAAAACCACCUCCAAAGCCUGAUCCGGAGGUCGAUGAUCCGCUUUAUCUAAUGACAUUGACCAUCCCAGAGCAUUUCUUGAGGCCUUAUCAGGUUAGAUGGGAUGCCACCGUGUU